UGAUGACAAAUUCUCCGGAAUCUCUGUACUACCUUGAUGAUUACAUUUGAACCUAUUAUCUGAUGACUGCCGGGUUCGUGUGCCCAUU
Small nucleolar RNA from Oncorhynchus tshawytscha (Chinook salmon), 88 nucleotides. The record is from Ensembl. Lineage: Eukaryota; Metazoa; Chordata; Actinopteri; Salmoniformes; Salmonidae.